GAUUCAGUAGCUCAGUUGGUAGAGCAUCUCCCUUUUAAGGAGGUGGUCCUGGGUUCGAGUCCCAGCUGGAUCA
This 73-nucleotide transfer RNA is filed under the name Bacteroidota bacterium. Its description in RNAcentral is "Bacteroidetes bacterium tRNA-Lys". It matches the Rfam family "tRNA". From Rfam's summary of the family: Transfer RNA (tRNA) molecules are approximately 80 nucleotides in length. Their secondary structure includes four short double-helical elements and three loops (D, anti-codon, and T loops). Further hydrogen bonds mediate the characteristic L-shaped molecular structure. tRNAs have two regions of fundamental functional importance: the anti-codon, which is responsible for specific mRNA codon recognition, and the 3' end, to which the tRNAs corresponding amino acid is attached (by aminoacyl-tRNA synthetases). tRNAs cope with the degeneracy of the genetic code in two manners: having more than one tRNA (with a specific anti-codon) for a particular amino acid; and 'wobble' base-pairing, i.e. permitting non-standard base-pairing at the 3rd anti-codon position. RNAcentral also lists the same sequence under 1 other name. Lineage: Bacteria; Pseudomonadati; Bacteroidota. The record is from RNAcentral.